RNAcentral lists this ribosomal RNA (465 nucleotides) under Vreelandella stevensii. RNAcentral's name for it is "partial 16S ribosomal RNA". It matches the Rfam family "Bacterial small subunit ribosomal RNA", at positions 338 to 795 of the family's 1533-position model. Lineage: Bacteria; Pseudomonadati; Pseudomonadota; Gammaproteobacteria; Oceanospirillales; Halomonadaceae. The record is from RNAcentral.
CCUACGGGGGGCAGCAGUGGGGAAUAUUGGACAAUGGGGGCAACCCUGAUCCAGCCAUGCCGCGUGUGUGAAGAAGGCCCUCGGGUUGUAAAGCACUUUCAGUGAGGAAGAACGCCUGGUGGUUAAUACCCAUCAGGAAAGACAUCACUCACAGAAGAAGCACCGGCUAACUCCGUGCCAGCAGCCGCGGUAAUACGGAGGGUGCGAGCGUUAAUCGGAAUUACUGGGCGUAAAGCGCGCGUAGGUGGCUUGAUAAGCCGGUUGUGAAAGCCCCGGGCUCAACCUGGGAACGGCAUCCGGAACUGUCAAGCUAGAGUGCAGGGGAGGAAGGUAGAAUUCCCGGUGUAGCGGUGAAAUGCGUAGAGAUCGGGAGGAAUACCAGUGGCGAAGGCGGCCUUCUGGACUGACACUGACACUGAGGUGCGAAAGCGUGGGUAGCAAACAGGAUUAGAUACCCGGGUAGUC